RNAcentral lists this ribosomal RNA (451 nucleotides) under uncultured Gammaproteobacteria bacterium. Its description in RNAcentral is "bacterial SSU rRNA". It matches the Rfam family "Bacterial small subunit ribosomal RNA", at positions 30 to 489 of the family's 1533-position model. The record is from RNAcentral. Lineage: Bacteria; Pseudomonadati; Pseudomonadota; Gammaproteobacteria.
AUUGAACGCUGGCGGUAUGCUUAACACAUGCAAGUCGGACGGAAACGACAGGGAGCUUGCUCCUUGGGCGUCGAGUGGCGGAUGGGUGAGUAAUAUAUAGGAAUCUACCUCAUAGUUUGGGAUAACUACUCGAAAGAGUGGCUAAUACCGGAUGUGGACUACGGUUUAAAGCAGGGGACCUUCGGGCCUUGCGCUACGAGAUGAGCCUAUACAAGAUUAGCUAGUUGGUGAGAUAAAAAGCUCACCAAGGCGACGAUCUUUAGCUGGUUUGAGAGGAUGACCAGCCACACUGGGACUGAGACACGGCCCAGACUCCUACGGGAGGCAGCAGUGGGGAAUAUUGGGGCAAGUGGGCGCAAGCCUGACCCAGCAACGCCACGUGAAGGAAGAAUGUUUCGGAUUGUAAACUUCUGUCCUCAGGAUAGAAAAAAUGACAGUACCUGAGGAGGAA